CACCCCUGUAUUUUUCCUACAACGAAUAGCAAGAGAUUUCCUCUGCAUUAUUGUUAUGAUCGGAGCCCGUUGCAAUAUGAGCCAGCACGAGUCUCUGUUGACAGACGACCGGGCUCUGAGGUGUACGUGUCAGCGUGCAACAUAAAACGACAAAACAGGGAGAGAAAGGAAAAGAGAGAGUGAGAGGAGUGGGAGCACGCAUCGCUGGAUAUUAUAGGUAAGGAGAAGGAAAAUGGAUGCUUAUACUUGUGUGUUUGGAGCUAUUCCUGCUGGCCACGCUUGUGCUCUCCCUCCCAUUUUUUCUCCCCUUCUUUGUGCAUUAAUGAUCAUCCUGCGUUAUGGCUAAAUUAUGUCCCGGUGAAUUAAUGUGAACUGAGCGCACGACGCGCACCCACAUUCCAGCGAGGAAAAGGGAGAGCCGGUGCGAAAUGCCAUGAUUCGCCAUUCCAUAUCAUCUUUCCUUUUUUUUUUUUUUUUUUUUUAAAAGGAAGAUAUGUGGAGCGUCUGGAAACAGCACUGCACAGGCAUCCAUUCUGACUGGGGAACAUGUAUGUGCUGCUGAACACGUCUCUUCCCCCCGUCGUGGAUGGUCUGUGAAGGCAGACCAUAGAGCAGCUUUGGCCGGUCUCCUCUGCAUGUGUAUCAAUAACAUUAGCAGCAAGAAAGAAGAAAGAGUCGUUGCAGUGCCCCGCUCGCUGGUGAUGUUUUGGUAGCUCUCCUCGUGUAGUACAGCCCAGUCAGUAAGCAGCUGGAACCAGUUCAGUCUCUGCAAUGGCUUGUGUUGUAAAAUGGACGUUGUAAAGAAGAAAUAAUGAAAACAAGGACACACAAAGAAUCGAUGCCCAUGCGCAGUGGGCGACGGCGGGGGGCAAGUGAGGAAAGAAGGGGCAGACGCCCGCACCCCAGCCCCUCUCGCCCUGAACGCAACGACAGACAGACGCAAAGAGGUGCUGGUGAGGAAUUGGCUGGAAAUCGCUUCAGUCGCAGAUCACAAGGGCAUGAUUCAUCAGAGAGUGAGGGGGAGGAACUUGUGUCUCCUCCAAAGAGGCAGAAAGUUCAGGAUUCAGCCCCUACUCCAAUUCCUCCAACAUCAACACACUCGACUGACAGCUCAGCUCCUUCCACUGUCCCACCUCCAACCUCAGUUGCCAGCCAAUCCCGUGAGAGUGACAAUGAAGAUGGCCAAUCUCAGGGCAGCAGGAGUUCAGUUGUAGGGAGCCUGGCCAAUAGCAGUAGCAGUCUGAGCAGCGGGAGAGAUAUAGACCAGGACAAUCGUUCCUCAUCCCCAAGUCUUUCCGCUUCCCCUUUGGGCAGCCUGGACUCUGACUCUGAUGGCCCCGAUUCACCAAAGCAAGGAGACCGGGAGAAAGGUAAAGAGGGGGGCGCAGGGAAGGUGACAGGAGAGGAUAGGAGAGUGCUGCGGGAGGGGAGGGGUGAGGAGCCCUGUGGAGAUGGAGAAAAGCGAGAUGUGGAUGCAAGAAUUGAGGACUGUCCAUCUCUUAAGCCCCCCUCCACUCCGUGCUCUUCCUCUGGACUGACUCCCUCUCUCCGUGGAGCAGGAGAUUCAUCAAAUGACAGCAAUAGUGGGAGAAAGUCAUAUUUCUCCCUGGACUCUAAGCUGAUGUGUAAAGUUGAGUACAGUGGACCGACCAGCGUUGAUGCUGCGCUAAGCAGCAGAAUGACUUGCAAAGCCAGCACACAGUGCGUGACCAAGACAACUAUCUCCGGAGGAGAUUAUUCCCAUAACAGCCCCAACAUUCCCCAUUCCCUGCCCCCUCCACUUCCUCCUCCACCUGCCCUGAAGCCUUUGGAGCUUGGGGCACAAAACAUGCCUACUGAGGUUAAGGCAGAAAGAGACAAAAUGGAAAAAGGAGACAAACUUCUGGACAAGUCUCAGUCCACUCCACCUUCUCUGUUGCCACAGACUGGUCCCCAGCCUCAGUCCCAGUCUCAGCCUCAGACCCAACCCUCCUCCCACCCUCACCACUACAGCUCCACCGGCUGGCAGGGUGGCACGGCAACUGGUUGCCAGGCUAGCUGGGGCUACACCCGUUACCCUGGCAACCACCACCCACACCAACCACAGCACCAGCCCCCAGUUCAGCAGCAGCAACUUCCCUCCGUUUACAACCCUCCAUCCUCUCGCCACUCCUCUUCCCACCCCUCUUACCUCCCCCACCCUCACCCCCACCCUCACAGGGAGUACCUUCCCAGGUAUGCUGGAGGGGGAGGAGACAG
Astatotilapia calliptera (eastern happy) is the source of this 2238-nucleotide long non-coding RNA. NCBI's taxonomy places the organism in Eukaryota, Metazoa, Chordata, Actinopteri, Cichliformes, Cichlidae. The record is from Ensembl.